AGAAGGUUAAUGUGUAACAGUCAGUCACAAAAAUGGUCAAAAUGCUUCCUCCUUUACGCUUUCUCAGCUGUGCUGGAACUGCCGCAAGGACUGGAAGCUUCCUGAAGCCUUCACCAGAAGCAGAUGCUGGCCCCAUGCUUCUUGUACAGCCUGCAGAACUGUGAGCCAAAUAAGCCUCUUUUCUUUAUAAAUUACCUGGUCUCAGGUAUCCCUUUAAAGCAAUGCAAAUGGGCUAUGACAAUAGGAUUUGAGACACCACAGGUGCUCAAUGUUUACUAAUGAAUAAUUGUAAUGCUGGAGAAGAUAACUUAGUAUUUGGUCACAAUUUAAAUUCUUUAUAGCAAAAAGUGUGAAGAAAGAAAAAUAGGAAAUACCACUCUAUGAAAAUAAAAAAUUAGUAGAGGAGGCCAUUUACUUGAUGCUGAGUAUGCAUCCAGCCCUGUGCACACACGACCUCAGUUCAUCUUCACAACAGCCCCACAAGGUGGGCUGCUUCAUCACGACGUCACAGAGGAGAGCCU
RNAcentral lists this long non-coding RNA (521 nucleotides) under Homo sapiens (human). RNAcentral's name for it is "HSALNT0218122". Lineage: Eukaryota; Metazoa; Chordata; Mammalia; Primates; Hominidae. The record is from RNAcentral.